AUGGUCGUCCCUCCACAGGUCCGAUCCCUGCAAAUAUUCUUUUAUUUUUUCACAUGCCGCUUGGAAAUCAUCAUCCCACCUGACCGUUUGACCCUUUUUUCUUCAACAACUUGGAUGGGUUCACAGGUGGCAGUUAGAUGAGAUGUGAACCAUGAAAUGUAAUUCAAUCUGCCUAAGAGACCACGAACCUCUUUUUCUGUUCUCGGUUCAGGCGUUUCUUGUAUUUCUUUUCUCUUUUUUUCCUUUUUUCCUUCUCUUUUUUCUUCUCUCUUUUUUUUUUAGUAGGAUCGGCCUCGAUUCCGCUUAUCCGCUCACAAUAAGCCUCAGCAUUUUACCGGACAGCACUCCACGAGUGCACUGAUUUGGACUCAACCUCAGUUUGAAUUAUCUUUACUGGUCCAACACCUUGACCAGGUCUACCGGAUGCCCCUCUCCUGCUUGGGACUUUGCUAUCAUGUCAUUAACAUAGCAUUCGAUUUCAUGAUGAAUCAUAUCAUGAAACAAAGUCACCAUAGACCCUUGAUACGUGGCACCGACAUUCUUGAGACUAAAUGACAUCACCU
Molecule: long non-coding RNA, 563 nt
Filed under: Lathyrus oleraceus (garden pea)
Lineage: Eukaryota; Viridiplantae; Streptophyta; Magnoliopsida; Fabales; Fabaceae
Description: Pisum sativum (pea) long non-coding RNA (PSAT_LNC029528)
Source: RNAcentral